GAUGAACGCUGGCGGCGUGCCUAAUACAUGCAAGUCGAGCGAACAGACGAGGAGCUUGCUCCUCUGACGUUAGCGGCGGACGGGUGAGUAACACGUGGAUAACCUACCUAUAAGACUGGGAUAACUUCGGGAAACCGGAGCUAAUACCGGAUAAUAUAUUGAACCGCAUGGUUCAAUAGUGAAAGACGGUUUUGCUGUCACUUAUAGAUGGAUCCGCGCCGCAUUAGCUAGUUGGUAAGGUAACGGCUUACCAAGGCAACGAUGCGUAGCCGACUUGAGAGGGUGAUCGGCCACACUGGAACUGAGACACGGUCCAGACUCCUACGGGAGGCAGCAGUAGGGAACCUUCCGCAAUGGGCGAAAGCUUGACGGAGCAACGCCGCGUGAGUGAUGAAGGUCUUCGGAUCGUAAAACUCUGUUAUUAGGGAAGAACAAAUGUGUAAGUAACUAUGCACGUCUUGACGGUACCUAAUCAGAAAGCCACGGCUAACUACGUG
RNAcentral lists this ribosomal RNA (497 nucleotides) under uncultured bacterium. RNAcentral describes it as "partial 16S ribosomal RNA". It matches the Rfam family "Bacterial small subunit ribosomal RNA", at positions 28 to 507 of the family's 1533-position model. The record is from RNAcentral.